UGGGGAAUAUUGCACAAUGGGCGCAAGCCUGAUGCAGCCAUGCCGCGUGUAUGAAGAAGGCCUUCGGGUUGUAAAGUACUUUCAGCGGGGAGGAAGGCGAUAAGGUUAAUAACCUUGUCGAUUGACGUUACCCGCAGAAGAAGCACCGGCUAACUCCGUGCCAGCAGCCGCGGUAAUACGGAGGGUGCAAGCGUUAAUCGGAAUUACUGGGCGUAAAGCGCACGCAGGCGGUCUGUCAAGUCGGAUGUGAAAUCCCCGGGCUCAACCUGUGAACUGCAUUCGAAACUGGCAGGCUAGAGUCUUGUAGAGGGGGGUAGAAUUCCAGGUGUAGCGGUGAAAUGCGUAGAGAUCUGGAGGAAUACCGGUGGCGAAGGCGGCCCCCUGGACAAAGACUGACGCUCAGGUGCGAAAGCGUGGGGAGCAAACA
This 427-nucleotide ribosomal RNA is filed under the name uncultured bacterium. RNAcentral describes it as "partial 16S ribosomal RNA". It matches the Rfam family "Bacterial small subunit ribosomal RNA", at positions 355 to 774 of the family's 1533-position model. The record is from RNAcentral.